This is a non-coding RNA of Salvelinus sp. IW2-2015, 669 nucleotides long. The record is from RefSeq and is a predicted model, not a curated record. NCBI's taxonomy places the organism in Eukaryota, Metazoa, Chordata, Actinopteri, Salmoniformes, Salmonidae.
AAAGUGAGGAGGUGAAGAUUGUGGUGGUGGACCCCCAGGCCAUGGCUCCUCUCCCAGGGGUCACACAGAUCCAGGGGGACAUCAUAAAGAUCUCAACUGCCCAGGAGUUCAUGUGCAUUUUGAAGGACAGUCUGCAGACCUGGUAAUGUUUGAUGGAGCACCAGACGUGACGGGACUCCAUGAUGUGGAUGAGUAUGUCCUGGCCCAGCUCACAUUUGCUGCGAGUACCACACUGCAACAAGUGUUAUAUUCAGUUGAAUACCAAAUAGCUGAUCUAGUUAUAUGUCUGUAUUGUUCAUCCCUUUACAAUAUUUUAUUAAAUAUACCUUCUCAGGCGCUAAACAUUACAAAACCUGUACUGAAUCCCGAAGGAACGUUUGUUGCAAAGGUAGGCUGAACGUUGGAUGAGAAUUUCAUUGACGUAGUGGGUUUGGAACUUUGUGGAAUUAAAUUAGCUGUGAAUGUUGUCCUAUCCUUUGGUUCCUGUGUAGAUAUUCCGUGGGAAAAAAACCUGGGACCAGGGGCCCAAUUGAAUCAUAGUUCCUUUCCUCACCUGUGGGAACCUGAGUGCCUUUGAGUUGGACCGGACUUACCAUCUCUAAAUCAAAUCAAAUCCAAUGUUAUUUGUCACAAGCGCCGAAUACAACAGGUGUAGACCUUACGGUGAAA